This is a non-coding RNA of Echinostoma caproni, 45 nucleotides long. Lineage: Eukaryota; Metazoa; Platyhelminthes; Trematoda; Plagiorchiida; Echinostomatidae. The record is from Rfam.
ACACUGCUAACGAGUCUCAAACAGGACGAAACAGCUGUCCAGUGC